GGGCCUGUAGCUCAGUUGGGAGAGCGCCUGCUUCGCAUGUAGGAGGUCAUCGGUUCAAGUCCGACCAGGUCCA
This is a transfer RNA of 73 nucleotides. It matches the Rfam family "tRNA". Rfam says of the family: Transfer RNA (tRNA) molecules are approximately 80 nucleotides in length. Their secondary structure includes four short double-helical elements and three loops (D, anti-codon, and T loops). The record is from Rfam.